Molecule: ribosomal RNA, 253 nt
Filed under: uncultured prokaryote
Description: partial 16S ribosomal RNA
Rfam family: Bacterial small subunit ribosomal RNA
Source: RNAcentral
UACGGAGGGUGCGAGCGUUGUCCGGAAUCACUGGGCGUAAAGGGCGCGUAGGCGGCCUGGCAAGUCGAUGGUGAAAGCCCGAGGCUCAACUUCGGGUCGGCCAUUGAUACUGCGAGGCUCGAGUCGACUAGAGGCUAAUGGAAUUCCGGGUGUAGCGGUGGAAUGCGUAGAGAUCCGGAAGAACACCGGUGGCGAAGGCGGUUAGCUGGGGUCGAACUGACGCUGAGGCGCGACAGCGUGGGGAGCAAACAGG